CACGUAGGGUGCGAGCGUUGUCCGGAAUUAUUGGGCGUAGAGAGCUCGUAGGCGGUGUGUCGCGUCGGCCGUGAAAACCUGCAGCUUAACUGUGGGCUUGCGGUCGAUACGGGCAUCACUGGAGUUCGGCAGGGGAGACUGGAAUUCCUGGUGUAGCGGUGAAAUGCGCAGAUAUCAGGAGGAACACCGGUGGCGAAGGCGGGUCUCUGGGCCGAUACUGACGCUGAGGAGCGAAAGCGUGGGGAGCGAACAGG
This 254-nucleotide ribosomal RNA is filed under the name uncultured bacterium. RNAcentral's name for it is "partial 16S ribosomal RNA". It matches the Rfam family "Bacterial small subunit ribosomal RNA", at positions 524 to 776 of the family's 1533-position model. The record is from RNAcentral.